This 504-nucleotide small RNA is filed under the name Pongo abelii (Sumatran orangutan). Its description in RNAcentral is "processed transcript". The record is from RNAcentral. Lineage: Eukaryota; Metazoa; Chordata; Mammalia; Primates; Hominidae.
GCAAAGGCGGCCGCGGUUCUAGAAACUUGACGUGAUGGGGCUUCCUGAGGAGCGGGGCCGGAGCGGCAGCGGGAGCCGGGGCCAGGAGGAAGCUGGAGCCGGAGGCCGGGCGCGGAGUUGGUCUCCGCCGCCCGAGGUCAGCCGCUCCGCGCACGUCCCCUCGCUGCAGCGCUACCGCGAGCUGCACCGGCGCUCCGUGGAGGAGCCGCGGGAAUUCUGGGGAGACAUUGCCAAGGAAUUUUACUGGAAGACUCCAUGCCCUGGCCCAUUCCUUCGGUACAACUUUGAUGUGACUAAAGGGAAAAUCUUCAUUGAGUGGAUGAAAGGAGCAACUACCAACAUCUGCUACAAUGUACUGGAUCGAAAUGUCCAUGAGAAAAAGCUUGGAGAUAAAGUUGCUUUUUACUGAACCCCCCAUACCUCAAGUCUUGGUCUCCAAUCAGCUCAUUGGUAUUUGGGGCUACUCAGCAUAGAGGGUAGAGACUGCCUGCCUUUCCUCUCCUG